Molecule: long non-coding RNA, 566 nt
Organism: Camelus dromedarius (Arabian camel)
Lineage: Eukaryota; Metazoa; Chordata; Mammalia; Artiodactyla; Camelidae
Exons: 3
Source: RefSeq, a predicted model, not a curated record
UGAGGCACCGUAGCUCCUGGUGUCCAAUGCACACUGGGCACCAGCUCUCAGAGGGGCCACCAUCCUCCCCCACCCACUCCAUCCUCUCCACAGGCACCCUCAUCAACAUGGAGGGCAGAGCCCCAGACUGGUCAGUCCCGCACGGUUAGCUGUGUCCGAGCCUGCACCGCUCCGGCGGUGGGUCACUACCCUUUCCUGCAGACCAGAGGGCAGUGCGGCUGCCAGGAAUUGAGUGACCAGCAGACCUCCCAGAUCUGAAUGCCUUCCCAGGGGGCACCUCCUAGGUGUCUAUGAAGUGGGGACACCACAGGCCACCCCAACAGGGAUGCUCUGAAAACUGGCCCUCAGGAAGAGUGAGAGCACAGGAUGCCCCACACGGCGGGUCACGCAACCUGAGAGGCAAAUGGUGCAGAGGAUGAGAACCCCGGCAAGGAGCUGGCCUUCCUCCUGCCAGGUGACAGUGCGUCUGAGGCAGGAAUGACACCGUGAGAUCUAAGUCUUAGAAAAUUCAGCCAAGUUGUGACGUGACAGCAGAGCUCAGCUCGGAGCCUCUGCAGACCUGCAGG